AGUGAACGCUGGCGGUAGGCCUAACACAUGCAAGUCGAACGGCAGCACAGAGGAGCUUGCUCCUUGGGUGGCGAGUGGCGGACGGGUGAGGAAUACAUCGGAAUCUACUCUGUCGUGGGGGAUAACCUAGGGAAACUUACGCUAAUACCGCAUACGACCUACGGGUGAAAGCAGGGGACCUUCGGGCCUUGCGCGAUUGAAUGAGCCGAUGUCGGAUUAGCUAGUUGGCGGGGUAAAGGCCCACCAAGGCGACGAUCCGUAGCUGGUCUGAGAGGAUGAUCAGCCACACUGGAACUGAGACACGGUCCAGACUCCUACGGGAGGCAGCAGUGGGGAAUAUUGGACAAUGGGCGCAAGCCUGAUCCAGCCAUACCGCGUGGGUGAAGAAGGCCUUCGGGUUGUAAAGCCCUUUUGUUGGGAAAGAAAUCCAGCUGGCUAAUACCCGGUUGGGAUGACGGUACCCAAAGAAUAAGCACCGGCUAACCUCGUGCCAGCAGCCGCGUAA
RNAcentral lists this ribosomal RNA (505 nucleotides) under uncultured bacterium. Its description in RNAcentral is "partial 16S ribosomal RNA". It matches the Rfam family "Bacterial small subunit ribosomal RNA", at positions 29 to 522 of the family's 1533-position model. The record is from RNAcentral.